Molecule: long non-coding RNA, 311 nt
Organism: Eriocheir sinensis (Chinese mitten crab)
Lineage: Eukaryota; Metazoa; Arthropoda; Malacostraca; Decapoda; Varunidae
Exons: 3
Source: RefSeq, a predicted model, not a curated record
UCAAGAAGGAAGAUCGCCGAGUACUAAUGACAGUGGCAAAGAAUCUGGUAUAUGCUGAUUCAGAUGAAACAUUUCAAGAUGAAUGGAAUUGCUUUUGUCAGACCCCAGAAGCCCAAAAGUAUAACCAGUACAUGAGAUAUAGGCUACCGUACAAGAGGGAAAAAAUACAUACGUUGGUAUCUGGCAAAGCUGAUAGAAAGGAAGGAAGAAUGGAGUACUGUGUACAGGGCUGGAUUUUUGCUACGUGGACACCACACAAAUAAUUUUGCAGAAUCUACCAUGUGCAUCAUUAAAGAUAUCAUUCUCAACAG